Molecule: ribosomal RNA, 1729 nt
Filed under: Triticum aestivum (bread wheat)
Lineage: Eukaryota; Viridiplantae; Streptophyta; Magnoliopsida; Poales; Poaceae
Description: partial small subunit ribosomal RNA
Source: RNAcentral
GCCCCCGCCCCCGCCGCCACCAACAAGCACCGGCGCGCGGCGGACGAGGACAUCCGCGAGGAGGCGGCGCGGCACCGCGCCCCGGCCAACGACUUCUCCGCCUGGUACGAGCCCUUCCCCCCCGGCCCCGGCGGGUCCGGCACGGACGAGCGCUACUCCCUGGACGAGAUCGUGUACCGCUCCAGCUCCGGCGGCCUCCUCGACGUGCGCCACGACAUGGACGCCCUCGCGCGCUACCCGGGGUCCUACUGGCGGGACCUCUUCGACUCCCGCGUCGGCCGCACCGUCUGGCCCUACGGCUCCGGCGUCUGGUCCAAGAAGGAGUUCGUGCUCCCGGGGAUCGACCCGGACCACAUCGUCUCCCUCUUCGAGGGCAACUCCAACCUCUUCUGGGCCGAGCGCCUCGGCCGCGACCACCUCGCCGGCAUGAAGGACCUCUGGGUCAAGCACUGCGGCAUCUCCCACACGGGUUCCUUCAAGGACCUCGGCAUGACCGUGCUCGUCAGCCAGGUCAACCGCCUCCGCCGCGCCCCGCUCUCCCGCCCCAUCGCCGGCGUCGGCUGCGCCUCCACGGGGGACACCUCCGCCGCGCUCUCCGCCUACUGCGCGGCUGCCGGGAUCCCAGCCAUCGUCUUCCUCCCGGCCAACCGCAUCUCGCUCGAGCAGCUCAUCCAGCCCAUCGCCAACGGCGCCACCGUGCUCUCCCUCGACACGGACUUUGAUGGCUGUAUGCGGCUCAUCAGGGAGGUGACUGCCGAGCUGCCCAUUUACCUUGCCAAUUCGCUCAAUUCGCUCAGGCUGGAGGGGCAGAAGACGGCAGCCAUUGAGAUACUGCAGCAGUUCGAUUGGGAGGUCCCAGAUUGGGUCAUUGUACCGGGAGGCAAUCUUGGAAACAUAUAUGCUUUCUACAAGGGAUUCGAGAUGUGCCGUGUUCUUGGUCUCGUUGAUCGUCUGCCACGGCUUGUCUGCGCACAGGCCGCCAAUGCCAACCCGCUGUACCGCUACUACAAGUCAGGGUGGACACAAUUCCAGCCACAGGUGGCUGAGCCAACAUUUGCGUCGGCGAUUCAGAUCGGUGACCCUGUAUCGGUCGACCGUGCGGUGGUCGCACUCAAGGCAACAAAUGGCAUCGUCGCAGAGGCCACGGAGGAGGAGCUCAUGAAUGCAAUGUCCCUCGCAGACCGCACCGGCAUGUUUGCCUGCCCGCACACUGGGGUCGCGCUCGCGGCUCUCUUCAAGCUCCGGGAAGAGGGCACCAUCGGGGCAAAUGACCGCACAGUGGUCGUCAGCACGGCGCACGGCCUCAAGUUCUCCCAGUCCAAGAUAGACUACCAUGAUCAGAAGAUCGAAGACAUGGCCUGCAAGUACGCCAACCCGCCGGUCAGCGUCAAGGCUGACUUCGGCGCCGUCAUGGACGUCCUCAAGAAGAGACUCAAGGGUAAGCUUUGAGCAUGCCCUGCUGCUGCUGCUGCUGCUGCUGACCCCUCCGAUUGGCUACUGCGAUUCGAUUGUCUUGUGCAUCUGAUUCAAAUGUGAUUGGUUUGCUGUGUGGAGCAUCCGAACCCUUGAUUUGAAAUCUUGUAGGUGAGUGAGACUCUUGUAGGCGUCUGCGGGGAAUGGUUAGGGGGGUGGGGUUGAUUAUCGCUUGUACCGUGUUGUGUUCUAUGGAUAAUAAACGGUUGUGUUAUGUUGCUGUUCAUUGAAUAAUCAAUCAUUCAGUCUGUUUGCU